Molecule: long non-coding RNA, 1814 nt
Filed under: Medicago truncatula (barrel medic)
Lineage: Eukaryota; Viridiplantae; Streptophyta; Magnoliopsida; Fabales; Fabaceae
Description: lncRNA gene37846
Source: RNAcentral
UUAAAUUUAAUUUAAUAUUGUAAUUUAAAAUUAAAUAUCAAAUGACCUAUAAUGUGCGAUAUAUGAUCCAAGAAACCAUCUUUGCUCCAUUUAGGUUUCCUCAAUUUAUUCCUUUUCACUUUAUUGAUGUGUGACAUGUGGCAAAUUUAAAGUCAAGGGUUGGGAUUAAAAGCUUUGGCAUUAGCACUUUUUAAUGAAAAAUAAAAUACACUUUUCCAACAAAACACACAUGCUUUCUCCAGAAAUAAACACGAUCUCUUCUUCCUCCUCCUAUCAGCACCAUCGCCACUCACCCUUUCACUCUCGCAAACGUUGUCGUUCAGUCUCGUCGUCGCAAACAGAACCGCGGUGAAUCAAGACAACCACUAUCUUUGAAUUGAAUCACACUUAUUUGUAAAUCAAUUAAAUCAUCAUUGAGCUUUUACAAAUUUCUCAUAAUUUGAUUUAGAACAGCAAUAAAUAAGCGAUUUGCAGAGAAAAAAAACGUUGUCGACAGCGAAGUUUGCGACGACGAGUUGUGUGAGGCUGUAUGUGGAGAAGGAGGAGAUCGCUGCAGCGGAGGGUGAUGAACGGCGGUGGAGGCGGCACCGGUCACAGGGAGACGCAACCAUGAUGGUGAGAGGAAGGAGGAGGAAGAGUGUUGUACGUUUCUGGGAAAGAAGAAGAAGCGUGUUUCUGUUCCAGAGAAAGAAGAAAGAGAAAGUGUGUGUUUUGUUGGAAAAGGGUGUAUUUUAUUUUUCAUUAAAAAAGUGCUCAUGCCAAAGCUUUUAAUCCCAACCCUUGUUUUUACAUUUGCCACAUGUCACACAACAAUAAAGUGAAAAGGAAUAAAUUGAGGAAACUUAAAUAGAGCAAAGAUGAACUCAUGAUCCAAUCGAUAAUUUUUUUAUGUCAUCUUUUUGUCUGCAUCCAAACACCUUAGAACACGCAUUACGAUAUACCGGAGAGAACUUUACUCUUACGUCCAGAUGUCCAUAAGCAAUUGUUGUUGUUUUCCCUUCAAAACAUGAUGAACUUGACAUUGACAUGUCAUAGAACAUUGUAUCAUUUACGAUAUUUAUUUGAAUUAUAACAAACACAUGUGUAAUUCCUACACAUAGAACAUUUUAUCAUCAGCGAUAUUUAUUUGAAUCAUAACAACCACAUGCAUAAUUCCUACAUUGCGGUUUUCGAGGAAGCACACAGUUAAUUCUUGCUACACAAUGAGAGUGUGCACGACAUUCAUGAAUUGCUGUAAUGAUAAAAGAGAAGAUAAAAAUGUUAGUAAUUCAAGGGGAUAAAAGGUUAGGUAAGAAAUAAAAAAAAAUUGUAAAAUAAUGAAAAACGAUUUACCGGCAUCGUUCAUUGCAAUGAAAAAUAGUGAAAGAAAGUAGAUCGUAAUAUAAACAAACUUAAUAACUUUAACCAUAUUAUUUCCCUUUUGCAUGAAAAAAUAAAAAGGAUUUGAUGAAUUUAUAAAGUAUAAAGCACACGGUUUCUUUAUACAAAUUCAAUAGUUGUUAUAAGACAUAGUAAAAUACCUCUAAACUACAUUGAAGUUUUAUGUUUGUCCCUUGGAUAAAAUUAACUAUAUUGAAGUGUUAUCUUUGUCCCUUGGAUAAAAUUAAAAACAUAAGGGAUCUACCGUCCCUCCAUAUGUCAAGUUGAUCCUCUCAUCACCCUAAGAUCAUAUAUGCGAUACGAGAUACCUGGUCGUCAAGCCUAUAGAGAUUUGUAUGUUGUCGGAUAGUUAAUUAAGGUGAAGAUUUACCCUCUCACAUGUAAUUGAAAUACAAACGAAGUUGGUAACUACGACAUUUUGCAUCUACUGCAAC